AAGUCCAGGGUUUUUAANUUCCAUUCCUUAUCCGAAUUUGCACUUCGGGCUUUUUUUUUCUGGACUUUUUGCCCCCUGCACUUUUGACUAAUUUGCACUUCGGGCUUUUUCCGGACUUUUUAUCCUGGGAA
Molecule: transfer RNA, 131 nt
Filed under: Calumma furcifer
Lineage: Eukaryota; Metazoa; Chordata; Lepidosauria; Squamata; Chamaeleonidae
Description: tRNA-Cys
Source: RNAcentral